Molecule: ribosomal RNA, 432 nt
Filed under: uncultured bacterium
Lineage: Bacteria
Description: partial 16S ribosomal RNA
Rfam family: Bacterial small subunit ribosomal RNA
Source: RNAcentral
AACGAACGCUGGCGGCAGGCUUAACACAUGCAAGUCGAACGCACCUUUCGGGGUGAGUGGCAGACGGGUGAGUAACGCGUGGGAAUCUACCCUUCUCUACGGGAUAGCUCCGGGAAACUGGAAUUAAUACCGUAUACGUCCUGAGGGAGAAAGAUUUACCGGGGAAGGAUGAGCCCGCGUUGGAUUAGCUAGUUGGUGGGGUAAAGGCCUACCAAGGCGACGAUCCAUAGCUGGUCUAAGAGGAUGAUCAGCCACAUUGGGACUGAGACACGGCCCAAACUCCUACGGGAGGCAGCAGUGGGGAAUAUUGGACAAUGGGCGCAAGCCUGAUCCAGCCAUGCCGCGUGAGUGAUGAAGGCCCUAGGGUUGUAAAGCUCUUUCAGUGGGGACGAUAAUGACGGUACCCACAGAAGAAGCCCCGGCUAACUUCGU